AGUAUUUAUACAAGGUCUAAAUACGAGGCCCUAAAUAUGGUAUAAACAUUUUCCUUAUGGAACAAGGAUUGUAUCUUGUACAUAUUUUUAGUUAUGUAAUACAAUGAGAAUUAAGUCGUAAAAUUCUAUUUGUCAUCAGAGGCUAGUUGUCGUAACCCUAACCAGGAAAAUACCCAUCCCGUGCCAUUAUGCUGCCAAGAAAUUUGCGAAGGUUGUGCGUGCUGCCUUUGCUGUGAGUAUUAUUAGGAUCUUGGAGUUUUGUAUUGGGACCUUGAAAUUUUUUGUCU
This 287-nucleotide long non-coding RNA is filed under the name Malus domestica (apple). RNAcentral's name for it is "long non-coding RNA (MDOM_LNC012827)". The record is from RNAcentral. Lineage: Eukaryota; Viridiplantae; Streptophyta; Magnoliopsida; Rosales; Rosaceae.